UGGGGGAUAUUGCACAAUGGGCGAAAGCCUGAUGCAGCGACGCCGCGUGGGGGAUGAAGGCUUUCGGGUUGUAAACCUCUUUCGCUAUCGAACAAGGCCCGCUUAGGGUGGGUUGAGGGUAGGUGGAGAAGAAGCGCCGGCUAACUACGUGCCAGCAGCCGCGGUAAUACGUAGGGCGCGAGCGUUGUCCGGAAUUAUUGGGCGUAAAGGGCUUGUAGGCGGCUUGUUGCGCCUGCUGUGAAAACGCGGGGCUUAACUUCGCGCGUGCAGUGGGUACGGGCAGGCUAGAGUGUGGUAGGGGUGACUGGAAUUCCAGGUGUAGCGGUGGAAUGCGCAGAUAUCUGGAGGAACACCGAUGGCGAAGGCAGGUCACUGGGCCAUUACUGACGCUGAGGAGCGAAAGAAUGGGUAGCGAACAGG
Molecule: ribosomal RNA, 420 nt
Filed under: bacterium
Lineage: Bacteria
Description: partial 16S ribosomal RNA
Rfam family: Bacterial small subunit ribosomal RNA
Source: RNAcentral